This 256-nucleotide ribosomal RNA is filed under the name uncultured bacterium. RNAcentral describes it as "partial 16S ribosomal RNA". It matches the Rfam family "Bacterial small subunit ribosomal RNA", at positions 96 to 353 of the family's 1533-position model. The record is from RNAcentral.
UGGCGGACGGGUGAGUAAUGUCUGGGAAACUGCCUGAUGGAGGGGGAUAACUACUGGAAACGGUAGCUAAUACCGCAUAACGUCGCAAGGCCAAAGAGGGGGACCUUCGGGCCUCUUGCCAUCGGAUGUGCCCAGAUGGGAUUAGCUUGUUGGUGGGGUAACGGCUCACCAAGGCGACGAUCCCUAGCUGGUCUGAGAGGAUGACCAGCCACACUGGAACUGAGACACGGUCCAGACUCCUACGGGAGGCAGCAUG